AGCGCAGGUGGUUGUAUAAGUCUGAAGUAAAAGGCAGUGGCUCAACCAUUGUGUGCUUUGGAAACUGUACAACUUGAGUGCAGAAGGGGAGAGUGGAACUCCAUGUGUAGCGGUGAAAUGCGUAGAUAUAUGGAGGAACACCGGUGGCGAAAGCGGCUCUCUGGUCUGUAACUGACACUGAGGCUGAAAGCGUGGGGAGCAAACA
Molecule: ribosomal RNA, 205 nt
Filed under: uncultured bacterium
Lineage: Bacteria
Description: partial 16S ribosomal RNA
Rfam family: Bacterial small subunit ribosomal RNA
Source: RNAcentral